AAUCAACGCUGGCGGCGUGCCUAACACAUGCAAGUCGCACGAGAAAGUGGAGCAAUCCAUGAGUACAGUGGCGCACGGGUGAGUAACACGUGAAUCAUCUACCUCCGAGUGGGGAAUAACCUAGGGAAACCUGGGCUAAUACCGCAUAACACUUACGAGUCAAAGCAGCAAUGCGCUUGGAGAGGAGUUCGCGGCAGAUUAGCUAGUUGGUGGGGAAUGGCCUACCAAGGCGAUGAUCUGUAUCCGGCCUGAGAGGGCGCACGGACACACUGGAACUGAAACACGGUCCAGACUCCUACGGGAGGCAGCAGUGGGGAAUUUUGCGCAAUGGGGGAAACCCUGACGCAGCAACGCCGCGUGGAGGAUGAAAU
Molecule: ribosomal RNA, 371 nt
Filed under: uncultured bacterium
Lineage: Bacteria
Description: bacterial SSU rRNA
Rfam family: Bacterial small subunit ribosomal RNA
Source: RNAcentral